ACGUAGGUGGCAAGCGUCGUCCGGAAUUAUUGGGCGUAAAGCGCGCGCAGGCGGUUUCUUAAGUCUGAUGUGAAAUCUUGCGGCUCAACCGCAAGUGGCCAUUGGAAACUGGGAGACUUGAGUGCAGAAGAGGAGAGUGGAAUUCCACGUGUAGCGGUGAAAUGCGUAGAGAUGUGGAGGAACACCAGUGGCGAAGGCGACUCUCUGGUCUGUAACUGACGCUGAGGCGCGAAAGCGUGGGGAGCGAACAGGA
RNAcentral lists this ribosomal RNA (253 nucleotides) under uncultured prokaryote. RNAcentral's name for it is "partial 16S ribosomal RNA". It matches the Rfam family "Bacterial small subunit ribosomal RNA", at positions 525 to 777 of the family's 1533-position model. The record is from RNAcentral.